GAGUGAAAUAGAACCUGAAACCGUGUGCUUACAAGUAGUCAGAGCCCGUUAAUGGGUGAUGGCGUGCCUUUUGUAGAAUGAACCGGCGAGUUACGAUUUGAUGCAAGGUUAAGCAGUAAAUGUGGAGCCGUAGCGAAAGCGAGUCUGAAUAGGGCGUUUAGUAUUUGGUCGUAGACCCGAAACCAGGUGAUCUACCCUUGGUCAGGUUGAAGUUCAGGUAACACUGAAUGGAGGACCGAACCGACUUACGUUGAAAAGUGAGCGGAUGAACUGAGGGUAGCGGAGAAAUUCCAAUCGAACCUGGAGAUAGCUGGUUCUCUCCGAAAUAGCUUUAGGGCUAGCCUCAAGUGAUGAUUAUUGGAGGUAGAGCACUGUUUGGACGAGGGGCCCCUCUCGGGUUACCGAAUUCAGACAAACUCCGAAUGCCAAUUAAUUUAACUUGGGAGUCAGAACAUGGGUGAUAAGGUCCGUGUUCGAAAGGGAAACAGCCCAGACCACCAGCUAAGGUCCCAAAAUAUAUGUUAAGUGGAAAAGGAUGUGGCGUUGCCCAGACAACUAGGAUGUUGGCUUAGAAGCAGCCAUCAUUUAAAGAGUGCGUAAUAGCUCACUAGUCGAGUGACACUGCGCCGAAAAUGUACCGGGGCUAAACAUAUUACCGAAGCUGUGGAUUGUCCUUUGGACAAUGGUAGGAGAGCGUUCUAAGGGCGUUGAAGCAUGAUCGUAAGGACAUGUGGAGCGCUUAGAAGUGAGAAUGCCGGUGUGAGUAGCGAAAGACGGGUGAGAAUCCCGUCCACCGAUUGACUAAGGUUUCCAGAGGAAGGCUCGUCCGCUCUGGGUUAGUCGGGUCCUAAGCUGAGGCCGACAGGCGUAGGCGAUGGAUAACAGGUUGAUAUUCCUGUACCACCUAUAAUCGUUUUAAUCGAUGGGGGGACGCAGUAGGAUAGGCGAAGCGUG
RNAcentral lists this ribosomal RNA (954 nucleotides) under Staphylococcus aureus. RNAcentral's name for it is "partial 23S ribosomal RNA". It matches the Rfam family "Bacterial large subunit ribosomal RNA", at positions 536 to 1495 of the family's 2925-position model. The record is from RNAcentral. Lineage: Bacteria; Bacillati; Bacillota; Bacilli; Caryophanales; Staphylococcaceae.